RNAcentral lists this ribosomal RNA (408 nucleotides) under bacterium enrichment culture clone ALO1_GLFRUDD03GLFVN. RNAcentral describes it as "bacterial SSU rRNA". It matches the Rfam family "Bacterial small subunit ribosomal RNA", at positions 9 to 417 of the family's 1533-position model. The record is from RNAcentral.
GAGUUUGAUCUUGGCUCAGAUUGAACGCUGGCGGCAUGCCUUACACAUGCAAGUCGAACGGCAGCACGGGAGCUUGCUCCUGGUGGCGAGUAGCGAACGGGUGAGUAAUGCAUCGGAACGUAUCCUGGAGUGGGGGAUAACGUAGCGAAAGUUACGCUAAUACCGCAUAUUCUGUGAGCAGGAAAGCGGGGGACCUUCGGGCCUCGCGCUCUUGGAGCGGCCGAUGUCGGAUUAGCUAGUUGGUGAGGUAAAGGCUCACCAAGGCGACGAUCCGUAGCAGGUCUGAGAGGAUGAUCUGCCACACUGGAACUGAGACACGGUCCAGACUCCUACGGGAGGCAGCAGUGGGGAAUUUUGGACAAUGGGGGCAACCCUGAUCCAGCCAUGCCGCGUGAGUGAAGAAGGCCU